GACGAACGCUGGCGGCGUGGAUUAGGCAUGCAAGUCGAACGGUAGGGUACCUUCGGGUACCUGAGAGUGGCGAACGGGUGAGUAACACGUAGGUGAUCUACCCUCAAGACGGGGACAACCCAGGGAAACUUGGGCUAAUACCGGAUGAAAGUGCCCUUUGGGGUAUUUAAAAGAUGGCUUUCGGGCUGUCGUUUGGGGAUGAGCCUGCGCUCUAUUAGUUAGUUGGUGGGGUAAUGGCCUACCAAGGCGAUGAUAGAUAGGCGGCCUUAACGGGUGGUCGCCCACACUGGGAUUGAGAUACGGCCCAGACUCCUACGGGAGGCUG
Molecule: ribosomal RNA, 325 nt
Filed under: uncultured Spirochaetota bacterium
Lineage: Bacteria; Pseudomonadati; Spirochaetota
Description: bacterial SSU rRNA
Rfam family: Bacterial small subunit ribosomal RNA
Source: RNAcentral